UCCAACUUGGCCCCUUCCAG
Molecule: microRNA, 20 nt
Filed under: Mus musculus (house mouse)
Lineage: Eukaryota; Metazoa; Chordata; Mammalia; Rodentia; Muridae
Description: mmu-miR-7054-3p
Source: miRBase by way of RNAcentral